GACAACGUGGCCGAGUGGUUAAGGCGACGGACUUGAAAUCCGUUUCCCUCUGGGAGCGCAGGUUCAAACCCUGCCGUUGUCG
This is a non-coding RNA of Entophlyctis luteolus, 82 nucleotides long. The record is from the annotation of a GenBank genome assembly. NCBI's taxonomy places the organism in Eukaryota, Fungi, Chytridiomycota, Chytridiomycetes, Chytridiales, Chytriomycetaceae.